UCAAUAUAUUGUAUUUUUUAAAUAAAUUUUUCAAAAAUUCUAUUUUAGGAAAGUUUUCAUUUUUGUAGAGAAAUAUUGUACAUUUGGGAUUGUGGUUUAGAGAUUAGGACAACAAGAAUUUUUGUUGAUAGAAGAGUAUUUUGUUUGAUUUUUUUAUCAAUAUAUUGUAUUUUUUAAAUAAAAUUUUCCAAAAUUCUAUUUUAGGAAAGUUUUCAUUUUUGUAGAGAAAUAUUGUACAUUUGGGAUUUUGGUUUAGAGAUUAGGACAACAAGAAUUUUUGUUGAUAGAAGAGUAUUUUGUUUGAUUUUUUUAUCAAUAUAUUGUAUUUUUUAAAUAAAAUUUUCAAAAAUUCUAUUUUAGGAAAGUUUUCAUUUUUAUAGAUAAAUAUUGUAGAUUUGGGGUUGUGAUUUAUAAACUAGGAUAAGAAAAACUUUUGUUGAUAGAAGAGUAUUCUUAUAGAUUUUUUUAUCAAUAUGUUGUAUUUUAAAAAUAAAAUUCUCAAAAAUUCUAUUUUAGGAAAGUUUUCAUUUUUG
RNAcentral lists this long non-coding RNA (533 nucleotides) under Brassica napus (rape). RNAcentral describes it as "long non-coding RNA (BNAP_LNC026744)". The record is from RNAcentral. Lineage: Eukaryota; Viridiplantae; Streptophyta; Magnoliopsida; Brassicales; Brassicaceae.